GAUGAACGCUGGCGGCGUGCCUAAUACAUGCAAGUCGAGCGAACAGACGAGGAGCUUGCUCCUCUGACGUUAGCGGCGGACGGGUGAGUAACACGUGGAUAACCUACCUAUAAGACUGGGAUAACUUCGGGAAACCGGAGCUAAUACCGGAUAAUAUAUUGAACCGCAUGGUUCAAUAGUGAAAGACGGUUUUGCUGUCACUUAUAGAUGGAUCCGCGCCGCAUUAGCUAGUUGGUAAGGUAACGGCUUACCAAGGCAACGAUGCGUAGCCGACCUGAGAGGGUGAUUGGCCACACUGGAACUGAGACACGGUCCAGACUCCUACGGGAGGCAGCAGUAGGGAAUCUUCCGCAAUGGGCGAAAGCCUGACGGAGCAACGCCGCGUGAGUGAUGAAGGUCUUCGGAUCGUAAAACUCUGUUAUUAGGGAAGAACAUAUGUGUAAGUAACUGUGCACAUCUUGACGGUACCUAAUCAGAAAGCCACGGCUAACUACGUG
RNAcentral lists this ribosomal RNA (497 nucleotides) under uncultured bacterium. RNAcentral describes it as "partial 16S ribosomal RNA". It matches the Rfam family "Bacterial small subunit ribosomal RNA", at positions 28 to 507 of the family's 1533-position model. The record is from RNAcentral.